CAGCGUGGUGAUCCCUGGGAGGAAGGUGUGCAGCUGAGUAGGUGUUUGCCAAGCUCUCCAGCCCCAAGGCCACCAUCACUGACAACACGCAGCCACCAGAUACACAAGGUCAACUGCAACAUGGUGGGAGAGGUACAUUUAUUGGAGUGGGAUCUCACCUUUACAAGGAACAAGUACAGCUCCCUUGCAAUUAAAUGGAAGGUCAGACAUGAGACUGACUCCCUUUUGGUCUUCAGCACAUUUGCACAGAGCGAAGCCAGCUCUCGGAGCCUGCAUUCUCUAGUCUAGUUCUCUCCCACCCCCCCAAUCUUUUAUCUUGAGUGGGUUUCCAGGAACAAUAAACUUACACUUUUCGUUUUAGCUUAUCAUGACUCUCCUGAUUACCUGUAAUU
Pogona vitticeps (central bearded dragon) is the source of this 392-nucleotide non-coding RNA. The record is from RefSeq and is a predicted model, not a curated record. NCBI's taxonomy places the organism in Eukaryota, Metazoa, Chordata, Lepidosauria, Squamata, Agamidae.